This 738-nucleotide ribosomal RNA is filed under the name Escherichia coli 2-460-02_S3_C3. RNAcentral's name for it is "bacterial SSU rRNA". It matches the Rfam family "Bacterial small subunit ribosomal RNA", at positions 780 to 1520 of the family's 1533-position model. Lineage: Bacteria; Pseudomonadati; Pseudomonadota; Gammaproteobacteria; Enterobacterales; Enterobacteriaceae. The record is from RNAcentral.
AGAUACCCUGGUAGUCCACGCCGUAAACGAUGUCGACUUGGAGGUUGUGCCCUUGAGGCGUGGCUUCCGGAGCUAACGCGUUAAGUCGACCGCCUGGGGAGUACGGCCGCAAGGUUAAAACUCAAAUGAAUUGACGGGGGCCCGCACAAGCGGUGGAGCAUGUGGUUUAAUUCGAUGCAACGCGAAGAACCUUACCUGGUCUUGACAUCCACAGAACUUUCAGAGAUGGAAUGUGCCUUCGGGAACCGUGAGACAGGUGCUGCAUGGCUGUCGUCAGCUCGUGUUGUGAAAUGUUGGGUUAAGUCCCGCAACGAGCGCAACCCUUAUCCUUUGUUGCCAGCGGUCCGGCCGGGAACUCAAAGGAGACUGCCAGUGAUAAACUGGAGGAAGGUGGGGAUGACGUCAAGUCAUCAUGGCCCUUACGACCAGGGCUACACACGUGCUACAAUGGCGCAUACAAAGAGAAGCGACCUCGCGAGAGCAAGCGGACCUCAUAAAGUGCGUCGUAGUCCGGAUUGGAGUCUGCAACUCGACUCCAUGAAGUCGGAAUCGCUAGUAAUCGUGGAUCAGAAUGCCACGGUGAAUACGUUCCCGGGCCUUGUACACACCGCCCGUCACACCAUGGGAGUGGGUUGCAAAAGAAGUAGGUAGCUUAACCUUCGGGAGGGCGCUUACCACUUUGUGAUUCAUGACUGGGGUGAAGUCGUAACAAGGUAACCGUAGGGGAACCUGCGGUUG